UUUUUUUUUCUCAAAUCUUCAUUUUUCAGCCCCAAAAAAGGCCAAAUAAAAAACCAUCAUAACCGUCGAAUUGAAAAUAAAAUAAAAAUCCCGAGCGCAAAAAAAAAAAAACCUGACGAAAAAGAAAAAACCCGAGCGCAAAAAAAUAAUCCAUCUUCACCCAUGGAGGGCUCCGCGCAAACUGAGCUCUGCAGGGCGGGGGAAGGCUUAUAAAACCUUGCCCCGCCCUGCAAUUAGGGUACGAACACU
This is a non-coding RNA of Pelobates cultripes (western spadefoot toad), 249 nucleotides long. The record is from the annotation of a GenBank genome assembly. NCBI's taxonomy places the organism in Eukaryota, Metazoa, Chordata, Amphibia, Anura, Pelobatidae.